This 667-nucleotide ribosomal RNA is filed under the name uncultured bacterium. Its description in RNAcentral is "bacterial SSU rRNA". It matches the Rfam family "Bacterial small subunit ribosomal RNA", at positions 39 to 719 of the family's 1533-position model. The record is from RNAcentral.
GCGGCGCGCCCAACACAUGCAAGUCGAACGAGUGAGAGAGAGCUUGCUUUCUCGAGCGAGUGGCGUACGGGUGAGUAACGCGUGAGGAACCUGCCUCAAAGAGGGGGACAACAGUUGGAAACGACCGCUAAUACCGCAUAAGCCCACGGCUCGGCAUCGAGCAGGGGGAAAAGGAGUAAUCUGCUUUGAGAUGGCCUCGCGUCCGAUUAGCUAGUUGGUGAGGUAAUGGCCCACCAAGGCAACGAUCGGUAGCCGGACUGAGGGGUUGAACGGCCUCAUUGGGACUGAGACACGGCCCAGACUCCUACGGGAGGCAGCAGUGGGGAAUAUUGCACAAUGGGGGAAACCCUGAUGCAGCGACGCCGCGUGGAGGAAGAAGGUCUUCGGAUUGUAAACUCCUGUUGUUGGGGAAGAUAAUGACGGUACCCAACAAGGAAGUGACAGCUAACUACGUGCCAGCAGCCGCGGUAAAACGUAGGUCACAAGCGUUGUCCGGAAUUACUGGGUGUAAAGGGAGCGCAGGCGGGAAGACAAGUUGGAAGUGAACUCUAUGGGCUCAACCCAUAAACUGCUUUCAAAACUGUUUUUCUUGAGUAGUGCAGAGGUAGGCGGAAUUCCCGGUGUAGCGGUGGAAUGCGUAGAUAUCGGGAGGAACACCAGUGGCGAA